GAUUUGGUAGCUCAGCUGGUAGAGCAUCUCACUUUUAAUGAGAGGGUCCUGGGUUCGAGCCCCAGCCAGAUCACAA
RNAcentral lists this transfer RNA (76 nucleotides) under Flavobacteriaceae bacterium CG2_30_34_30. RNAcentral's name for it is "tRNA-Lys". It matches the Rfam family "tRNA". Rfam says of the family: Transfer RNA (tRNA) molecules are approximately 80 nucleotides in length. Their secondary structure includes four short double-helical elements and three loops (D, anti-codon, and T loops). Further hydrogen bonds mediate the characteristic L-shaped molecular structure. tRNAs have two regions of fundamental functional importance: the anti-codon, which is responsible for specific mRNA codon recognition, and the 3' end, to which the tRNAs corresponding amino acid is attached (by aminoacyl-tRNA synthetases). tRNAs cope with the degeneracy of the genetic code in two manners: having more than one tRNA (with a specific anti-codon) for a particular amino acid; and 'wobble' base-pairing, i.e. permitting non-standard base-pairing at the 3rd anti-codon position. Lineage: Bacteria; Pseudomonadati; Bacteroidota; Flavobacteriia; Flavobacteriales; Flavobacteriaceae. The record is from RNAcentral. RNAcentral also lists the same sequence under 6 other names.